UCAGACAAACAGAGAUUUCAACAAUUAUAUAGAUAAUUAACAGAUUAAAUAUUUUAAACUAGUUUCUGUUUUUCAUGAAAUCAGGCGUUAUUGAGCUUUGGUUGAAAAUCUUAAUCGUUCUUUGACCUGAAGUGUUAUAACAAAUUUUUUUUUAAAUCAGGUGUUUUGUAGGUUUGCUGUUUUAGAAGUAUGGCGUUUUGAAAAUUGAAUGUUUUAAAAUUUCAGCUUUCUGCUUUAAAGUUUGAUGCUUGAAAGUGUUUUGUAACUGUUGCCAUUUUUUAAAAGUUUGAUUUUUUUAAAGUUGGGUUUUUAAAAGUUUGAUAAUUUAUAACUUGAGUGUUUAAUAUUUUUUAAAUUGAGUAUUUUUUUUAAAUACUGUUUAUUUUUAAAUAUUUUUUUUGUAGUGAGAUGGUUACAGGGUUUGGGGUGUGAUUGGUGUAUUAAAAGCUUGUCGUUUAAAAUUUGGAGUAUUUUGAAAGUUUGUUGUUUUGACACUUGGGUGUUUAUUCUUAGAAAAAUAGGUUGUUUACAACCCCCUCUCCCAUUCAAAAGGUAAAAAACUUGUUUUCUAAUCUAGUCUGCUCUAUUUUACUGAUAAGAAUGUUUAUAAAAUAACACUUUACUAUAAAUAUAAAUAUAAGAUUAGACGUGUUUAGUCUCCAGCUUGUCUCCAGUAUUAAAUCUUAAACCAGAUACAAGAUGAGCUCUGUGCAGGAUGCUUGGGGAAAUAUAAAGGACUCCGGUAAUGGCGGGUCAACGGGGGGAACCUUUGGAGAUGCAUGGGAAAAGCACAAUGGAAAAUGCAAACUUAAAAACAAACCAGCAUUAAAGCCUCAACACCUGAGUUCGAACCCUUCUUCCAAUAAAGUUUGCGGCGGG
Molecule: long non-coding RNA, 879 nt
Organism: Eurytemora carolleeae
Lineage: Eukaryota; Metazoa; Arthropoda; Copepoda; Calanoida; Temoridae
Exons: 3
Source: RefSeq, a predicted model, not a curated record